Molecule: non-coding RNA, 73 nt
Organism: Myotis lucifugus (little brown bat)
Lineage: Eukaryota; Metazoa; Chordata; Mammalia; Chiroptera; Vespertilionidae
Source: Rfam
GCUGAUGUUGCUCAGUAGUUAGAGCAUUGGCCUGUGCACUUAGGGUCAUGGGUUCGAUUCCCAGUCAAGAGCA